This 611-nucleotide long non-coding RNA is filed under the name Homo sapiens (human). RNAcentral describes it as "non-protein coding lnc-MID1-1:7". Lineage: Eukaryota; Metazoa; Chordata; Mammalia; Primates; Hominidae. The record is from RNAcentral.
CUUUUUCAAAAUGUGGCGGUGGCAGGGAAGGUUGUCUGCUCCAGAGGCUUCCCUAGAGUGAAGAGCUCUACUAUGUAUGCUUUAUGCGGCAGAAGGAGUGCUUUGGAGGAGUUUUUAAAUUUGUUUUUUUUUUAAAUCUUAUCGGUUUUAAUUGUAGCAAUGAUUCAAGAAACGUUAGUAGGUGCCCAUAACUUCGGUGGUGGAGAUCCAAAAGUGAACAAGACAGUGUUCUGGCUGCUAAAUUCUUCUUAACUGGUUAUGCCUGGAGACCUUCACUUGGUUCUGUGCCAGCACUGCCCAUGAACUUCAUAGACUGUGAUCUUUGCUAAGGCCUAAAUGAAUGAAGUGUACACUUCUUUGGUUCACUGGAACUGAACAACAGCUGAAUGUUUAACCUUGAUUGCAGGUGCAGGACCGGAAGCAGAAGACAGAAAGUGGAGACCAGAUGUUUGAAGCUGGGUAAAGGCAGGGAUGGAGCAGGAACCGAGGAACAAACCUUGGAACUAGCCACUUGAUUGCCGAGCCCCAUAGAAGACAUAAUUUACAAGAAACUCAUAGAGACUCAAAAUGUAAGGUUCUCUGAAAGAAAUUGAGGUGUAGUUCUUAGGUUA